Molecule: transfer RNA, 74 nt
Filed under: Coemansia sp. RSA 2531
Lineage: Eukaryota; Fungi; Kickxellomycota; Kickxellomycetes; Kickxellales; Kickxellaceae
Also listed under: 1 other name
Description: tRNA-Glu
Rfam family: tRNA
About the family: Transfer RNA (tRNA) molecules are approximately 80 nucleotides in length. Their secondary structure includes four short double-helical elements and three loops (D, anti-codon, and T loops).
Source: RNAcentral
UCCCUAAUGGUCUAGUGGUUUAAGGAUUACUCGCUUUCACCGAGUCGGCCGGGGUUCGAUUCCCCGUUAGGGAG